Molecule: long non-coding RNA, 431 nt
Filed under: Numida meleagris (helmeted guineafowl)
Lineage: Eukaryota; Metazoa; Chordata; Aves; Galliformes; Numididae
Description: lncRNA (ENSNMEG00000000949.1)
Source: RNAcentral
UGGGUCUCUAUGGGGCAGUGCUGUCUCUCUAUGGGUCUCUAUGGGUCUCUAUGGGGCAGUGCUGUCUCUCUAUGGGUCUCUAUGGGGCAGUGCUGUCUCUCUAUGGGUCCCUAUGGGUCUCUAUGGGGCAGUGCUGUCUCUCUAUGGGUCUCUAUGGGUCUCUAUGGGGCAGUGCUGUCUCUAUGGGUCUCUAUGGGGCAGUGCUGUGUCUCUAUGGGUCUCUGUGGGUCUCUAUGGGGCAGUGCUGUCUCUCUAUGGGUCUCUAUGGGGCGGUGCUGUCUCUGUGGGUCUCUAUGGGUCUCUAUGGGUCUCUAUGGGGCAGUGCUGUCUCUAUGGGUCUCUAUGGGUCUCUAUGGGGCAGUGCUGUCUCUCUGUGGGUCUCUAUGGGUCUCUAAGGGGCAGUGCUGUCUCUCUAUGGGUCUCUAUGGGGC